RNAcentral lists this transfer-messenger RNA (392 nucleotides) under Bacteroidota bacterium. RNAcentral's name for it is "Bacteroidetes bacterium transfer-messenger RNA". It matches the Rfam family "transfer-messenger RNA". From Rfam's summary of the family: Bacterial tmRNA, also known as 10Sa RNA or SsrA, is named for its dual tRNA and mRNA-like properties. Its role is to liberate the mRNA from a stalled ribosome. The record is from RNAcentral. Lineage: Bacteria; Pseudomonadati; Bacteroidota.
GAGGGCGAAAAGGUAUCGACAGAGGUAGGAAUUUUAUAUUGCGUUUCGUGAAUGAUUGAGACACGUUAAAAUUGAUCAUGUAAAUAUAACUGCAGACAAUUUCGCAGAUGAUUACUCUCUAGCAAUAGCAGCGUAAUCCGUGCUACUUAGUUUUGAUCUCUGGAUUAAGAUAGGGCGUCGACUUAAGAGAUGUAGAAAUUUAUAGGAUGUGUUUUGAUAAGCUUUUUGGGCUAUAAAUUUUGAAAUAAAUCCAUCGCACUUAUCCAUUACCAUUGUUGUUGUGUCAACUCCGCUUUAAAGCGUUUUGGUAAUGUAUUAAAAGCUGACUAUAAACGUAGACGUAUGAUUGGAAUAUACUUUGGACCAGGGUUCGACUCCCUGCGCCUUCACCA